AUGGAUCACAAUCUUGAGAUUAUCUUCUGGAAUGUGCACGACCUAAAUUCCGGUGCUAAGCGUAUGGCCGUCUGUAGUUUGAUCUCCGCUGCCGCCCCCACCAUUGUGUGCCUGCAAGAAACCAAGCUUGCUCAUAUCUCGGACUCCACGGUCCUCGACAGCCUAGGACCCCUAUUUGAGGGUUUCUACUUCCUCCUGGCCUCUGGUACACGCGGUGGCGUGCUCCUCACGUGGCGUAGAUCGCAUGUCUCCCUCUCUAACCCAUCGAUUGGCAAACAAUCAUAUCACAACUCUAGUUUCCCCCGCAAACGGUAG
This 315-nucleotide ribosomal RNA is filed under the name Triticum aestivum (bread wheat). RNAcentral describes it as "partial small subunit ribosomal RNA". Lineage: Eukaryota; Viridiplantae; Streptophyta; Magnoliopsida; Poales; Poaceae. The record is from RNAcentral.